AGAGCGAACGCUGGCGGCAGGCCUAAUACAUGCAAGUCGAACGGAUCCUUCGGGAUUAGUGGCGGACGGGUGAGUAACACGUGGGAACGUACCCUUUGGUUCGGAACAACUCAGGGAAACUUGAGCUAAUACCGAAUGUGCCCUUCGGGGAAAAGAUUUAUCGCCAUUGGAGCGGCCCGCGUCUGAUUAGCUAGUUGGUAGGGUAAAGGCCUACCAAGGCUACGAUCAGUAGCUGGUCUGAGAGGAUGACCAGCAUCACUGGGACUGAGACACGGCCCAGACUCCUACGGGAGGCAGCAGUGGGGAAUAUUGGACAAUGGGCGCAAGCCUGAUCCAGCCAUGCCGCGUGGAUGAUGAAGGCCUUAGGGUUGUAAAGUCCUUUUAACGGGGAAGAUAAUGACGGUACCCGUAGAAUAAGCCCGGCUAACUUCGUGCCAGCAGCCGC
RNAcentral lists this ribosomal RNA (445 nucleotides) under uncultured bacterium. RNAcentral describes it as "SSU rRNA". It matches the Rfam family "Bacterial small subunit ribosomal RNA", at positions 26 to 518 of the family's 1533-position model. The record is from RNAcentral.